AAUGCCUUAGCAGUACUGUGUCACUCACCCUAGUGGUCCAAAUAUUUCAUUUCCAUAAGAAAACUCAUUCUUUCUACAGUCCCGUGACUCUUCUUUCCCCUAGAAGGUGGAAUUUUAUCUCCCACUAUGCAGCAGGUCUGACAGGUUUUUAAAAGUCUUUCUUCAUUCUUAAAAAUCUGGGAGGAGAGGAAGGAGGAGGUUUCUGAAAGAUGCACAUUCCUGAAGCUGGUUUCUAGAGCUGAAGCAGCCAGUUCAUUCUGGAAGAUGACAGAAUUAUAGAAUGGUUUGGUUGGAAGGGACCUUAAAGAUCACCCAGUUCCAACCCUCUGCCAUGGGAAGGGCCACCUUUCACUAGAUGUUUCACUCCAGAUAUGAUUUUAUUUUAUUAUUUUGUUUUGUUUUAUUCUUGGAGCCCUCCAUGAGUGGGCUCUGCUCUGAAGCAGCCUGACCUUGGAGGCAGAGCUGAGCUGCAGGUGACACCAUGGCUCAUGUGCCAUCUCAAUUUAAAGAAAAAUGAUUGGUGGAAGAAUUUGCCCAAUGUCUUCAGGCACCCAUCAUCAUCUGCAAACCAAAAGCAUGACCUGAAUGAUUUAUUGCAGUGAUCUGCAAAAUACAUUUGCAGCCACAUCUCAGGACUCCCACCCCCUUUCUCUUCUUUUUCAGUUCUGUCAAACUGACAUAUUUUUCCCUUUUAUUUUCUUUUCCCCAGACAUAGCUAACUGCCAUAUCUAUGAUAUUUUAUAUUUAUAAAUGUGAACACAUGCAGACUGCAGUGGGCUUUCUCCACUUUCUUUGCUUUUCUUAAGUUUUCUGGCCAGACAAAUAUCCAUCUGAGCAAAAACUUCUUCCUGACCAACAAAGCCCUGGAAAAAUCCAACACCUUCAUCAACCUCUGGUAGGUGCUGAACCGGUUUGAGCUCCCUGAAGGAGAAUAAAUCAUUGUGCCUGCCCCCUUUGAACCCCCUGAGGGACUUCUGCCUCAGAGUCUUCUCUGAAAAAAAUGGCAACUCCACAUAGGUGGCUUUUGGUGACCAUGUUACAGCAGUGGGCACAUGGGGGAGAUUAUUAUUAUUAUUGUUAUUUUUAUUGUUUUUCUUAUCCAAAUUACUAUUUAAUUAAAAUUAAAAAGCUAAAGCCUGAGGAAGGGGUGUGGAGUCUUUUUUAUUGAGUUGCCUUGAUUCAAAGCAAGCUGAAACCUUCCUCUAUCCUGUAAUAUUUUGCUGCAUACUCCUGCAGCAGUGGGAAACCUGGGAUGUUCAAUGUGUGAGGACACAUUCAGCCCUUAGGACUGCUUGGGCACCAUCUGUAGGUCUGGUGCUCCCUCAGCACCUGGGGGACAGCAUGAGGCACAUCAGAAUUACUUUGGGGCUCACACUUUUUGCUGUUUUAAAGAAGAAAUUACUAGACAAAGUUUGAUUUGUACCCAAAUCAAACUGAUUUUUGUAGUAACCUUGUAAACUCUUGGAAAUAGCAAAAUGGCAUUGAGUGAAUAUACCAUGACACUUAGCAUCCACAGGCCUCUGGAAGAAUUACCAUUAUGCUGAAAAUGGAGACUUUCCCUCUUUGGAGAUACUGGUGCAAAUACCAUGGAAAGAAACUAAGAGUUCCUGUGCUAAGUAGGCAAAAAAAAAAGACCCAGAGUUAUGUGAGCCCCAAAAUCCUGUCUGUGGCUCUGCAGAACAAUUUGUCCUGUCUUUUCAAACUCUUGUUGCCAUAGCUGGCAAAACACAGCUUUCACUCUGCUAUGCUGUGUCCAUUGCUGAUUAAUCCAGUAAUAUUUGAAUGCUCAUUGUUUUUUCCAUAUUUUAAAGAAUCUUUCUUUAACUGAAGCUUGAAGGAAAAGCAUCAUAAACAUGAUUUGUUUUGAUUUUAAUAUUGAUUUCUUUCUAGGGUGAUGAUGAAAUUGAAGACAAUUUUGAUGAGGUACUUCAACUUAAAUGUUUUAAAUUGAGAUAAUUUUGUUGUAAGUGGGGGUUGAAGUGCCUUUUCCCUGUGCAGGGUGAUGUUUUCUAUAGGCAUUAUCAAGAAAUGUUGUCCCACUUUGGGAAAAUGGGAAAAAAAAUCUUUCAAUAUCCAUUGCUAGGUGUGGGAAAAUGGGAAAAGAUCUUUCAAUAUCCAUUUCUGGGUGUCAAGCAAAUGGAAAUAUCAUCAGGAAUGUAAUGGAAACAAGUGUUGUCUUUUAUCUAGAACUUGGACUUCCCAGGCAGAGGUACACUCUCAAGAGUUACCUGGAGCCACAGGAAAUUCCCUUUGUUCUCCAGGAGUCCAGGAGUGCACCUUGCAGCAGCAGGGCUGUUUCUGCAUGUAAUGCUCUUUCCAGGAGUAAAUAGUGGCUCACAAUAUGUUUACUCGUGCUGGGGAUGCUUUGCCUAUUAAUGCAGCUACCCUAUGUGUAGUGGGUGUUUUUUCCAGCAUUUACAAUGCCAGUAUUUUGAGGUGCCCCUGAAAAUAAAACUGAAUAAAAUCAUAAUAAAACCCACUUUGUACCUUCAACCUUGCCAUUUGAAUUUUUUACUAAGGGCAAGGAAAUGCAUUAAGUCUUUCUUAGGCAGAAACUUUCCCCCUUUUGACCUUCUCUGUUUCUGUCUUUUAGACAGAGAUGAGUGAAGAUGACAUCAAACCCAGCUUUAAAAAGCUUUUUGGGCAGCUAGCAGGAAAUAUGAGUGGUUUUUUGGUAAUAUCUUACUGGCAUCGUGGUGAGUGGGUAAGAGAGAUGCCUCCCCCAGGACAGAGUUUAGUUCUUGUGCAGAGUCAGCUCUCAGAGUUGUGCAUCCCAAACCUGUGCAGUCACCCAGCUGCUUCCACGGUGGAUUUGGGAGCGCUCCUGGUGAACAAUCUCUGCUCCUUUUGAACUGUGGGCUUGACUUUUAUCUCUGCAGGGCCUGAAUUCUGUCCUUGGGCAGAGCAUAUGGCUGGGCUGGGCUUCUCCCCAGGCUGCUCUUGCCUCGGGCACACCUUGCUGCUGGGUGUGCUGAUCUCUGGGAACUGGUGGUGCUCCUGGGAAUGGGAGGUGGGGAGAGCUUCCCACUCCCUUCAAUUCAAGGGAACUGAACUCGAAGGGGUGUUAGAAAUUAGCCAACUUGCCCAAAGGAAUCAGAGGCUGCAGAUGGUGUCUGCAGCUCAUGGUGGAAAAUUUGUUUUCUUCUUUUCCACAGGAUGAAGAGAUCUCUGCCUUCGAGCUGCACAGCAUCAUGAAUAAAAUCCUGGCUAAACCUGAGUGCCUUCCUCCACUUCAGAUGGCCACCAGCAGGUUUCCACCGUGGCCAUGGGAGCACAGAGGGCACCACUGCCCUGGGCAGGGUCAGAGCCUGGGCUGUGCCCCAGACCUGCUGCUUGGUUCUCCAUAUGGCCACGACCAUGUGCUCUCUCUGCUGCUUCAGGGGCUGCAGAAACUGGGGCUGUGCCAGCCCAGAAGGUGUUUCACAGGAUGUGUGCUUUGGCAGGGUACAGAUGGGUGUCUUUUAUCCCAGCAUCUGCCACUGGGAAUUGGUUGCCAGGAAGAUGGAUGGAUUUGAAUAAUCCUUGAUAAUAAUCAAGAGAGAGAUUGCUGCUGUUUUAGUACUGAACCACACAGGAGUGAUUCAAGCAGUAGCCCAGCCAAUGGUCUGGGGUGUCCCUAAGGAGAAGGAGAAACUUUGAAACUCUGGGCUUCUUUUUCUCAAGAAAAAAGUGCUUGGAGAAAUAAUUGUCUCUUUAAUUUCCAAAGUGAAAUCUUAUCAGAUGGUCAGGACUGUGGUGUAUGUCUGUGUGCAGCAGCCAGUAAUCAGCAAUGGGCUGUUGCUGGCUUCCAAGCUUGGCUUCAUGUUCAGCCUUUCAUGAAGCCACCUCCUGCUGACCUCCAUAAGCUGGAAGUCCAUGUUGUCCACAGAAGUCCACUUUGCAGGCAGGCAGGGAAGCUUUUGUCUCUGUCUCUUGCUCCUGCAGCACACCUACAAACCAGACUACUCAGGCUGUUUGCUUGGGGACACAUCCCAGCUCACUUGCACCCAAAGCCCCUUUGUCAGCUGAAAGGAUGGCACUGUUGGAAGCAAAUAAAAGCUGGUUGGAGAGCUCAUGAGCUAUUUAGGUGCUGUGGUACAGCAUGCAGUGAUAAUCCUGUCUUUUGCUCUUUACAGGCCAAGAUAUUAAAUCUGAUUGCUUUAGUAUUGAGACAUGCAAAACAAUGGUUGACCUGUUAGAUGUAGCCUUUAAAGCUCUUCCUAGAUAAUAUUCCCCUUCCUGAGCUGAAGCAGGCCAGCUGCCUUUGCUCCCUGCUGGGUCCAUCCUGGAGUACAAAUGGCUCCUGAGGUGGAGAAGAUGGCUUUACCCUGAUUCCCCUAAGAAAGCCACUCCCUUCUUCUUGUUGUUCACAUGUGUGUUAUCCCAGGCCAUGGGAAAAAUCCAUCAUCAAAAAAAGUCUGCUUGGAAGCUUUCCCAGCUGUUGGGUGUUCUGGUCUGGCUGGGGACAAAGUGAUGUUUGUGCAGGGAAAAGGGAAAAGGCUCUCAGCAUGGUGAGGAUGGCCUUGGCUGUAGGGUUGUUUCACCUCUCUGUUAUCUGGCUGGAGUUGGUAAGAGCAUUACAAAGCCAUAGGGGGAUUUAGCAAAUGGAAAAUGAGGAACACAAAUACAGUGUUUUAACAUGCCAUACAGGAAGCAGAGAGUGUGCAGGAUUUUAGGAGCUUUUACUCCUAAGAUACAGGCAAAAGUGUAGGAUGAAGGAUCAGGUCUAAGAAUAGUUGUGUUCAGCUUCUCUGUGCAGUGGGAGUUGAAUUGCAGAGUUGGAAAAGGAAAAUUACCAACACAAGGUAAUACUUUUCUAUAUUUUGGUAAAAUACAGCAGUCCACAGGCAGUCCUUGGCAGGUUUUGGGUGCAGUGCCAUGCCCAGGUUCUUUUGUUAGCUGUUUGCUCAAGAGCUGAAAGUCUCCAAAUAGCAAGUGUGGCUGUGGCUUUUCCUGUUUAUAAUCCAGACCCAGGACUUGUGCCCCAGUAACUGGAGGUGUUUAACCCAAUAUGCAGAACCAAAUGAAAUCAUCCUGGCUCGUUUAUACUUGUAGUGGAAAGACAGAGACCUGCAGCAGGGGUGCAGAAAGAGCUUGUUGAACUGGUCACUAUUUAAAUUAAUGAUCUUAAUGAUUUAGAAAGAAAUCUUGGACAAUAAUUGUGUAUUCAGCAAGAUGAGUCCUGGAGAGAGGAUGAGUCCUUCAGAAAAGGACUUCAAUCCCUCUUCUGUUUGCAUUUUUUUAAAAGUCAUAACUGUCCAUGCAAGUAAAUCCAGCAGAGGGAGAUGAAACCCCUUUUUCUUCCCUCUGAAGAAACUUCCUUAACUCAGAGAAGAAUGAUGGGAGUGACAGUCUGGGACUGAAGGAGUUCCACCCCCUCUGGACAAAGACUCAGAAAUACCAGAAAAUUUACAGAGAAAUUGAUGUGGAUCGAUUGGGUACCAUGAACUCGUAUGAGAUGAGGAGGGCACUGGAAACAGCAGGGCUCAAACUGAACUGCCAGUUACAUCAGAUCAUUGUGGCUCGUUUUGCUGAUGAGGAUCUCGUCAUUGACUUGGACAAUUUUGUGUGCUGUUUGAUUCGGCUCAAAACCUUGUUCAGUGAGUACACACAGCAACCAGACAGGCUCUGCUGCCUUGUGAUUCCAGCAGGAUAACUGUCCAGGCAGAACUGUCCAGAAGCCCAGGAUAAGUGGCUGUGUUUUACUGUCAUUUGAGCCACUGGCAUCAGCCUGAGACCUCAACAAGAGCAUGAUCAGGUGAAGAUAAUCAAGCUACAUACAAGUAACAUCCAAACAUGAAUAUGCCUUAACUUACACAAAGUAAGCAGAUUUUGCACGCAAUUGCAAGAGGAAAAGCGUUCUACUUCCACAGAAGAACCUGCAACCUCAUUUUUAUGGACCUGACAGUCUGUGCCUACUCCCAUAUAGCCUCUGGACAAAGGCUUUAGUUUAGUACCAAUCUUCAGUGCAAGUUUUUCACUGCUUUGCUAAUAUCUUUGUAUUUAAGGCAUUUUACAGGACUUCAGGAAGAAAAGCUCAUUAUAGCUUGACAGUCUGGUUUUAAAAAGUGCUUUUUGAACAACAACCUGCAUAUCUGAAAUUAGCAAAGAGAUAGUAUUGCAUAUCUAACCAUCUGUACUCAGAGAUAGGGGUUCCAAGACCCAGCAUAUCCUAGUUAAAUAUUCUUUAAAGAAUUUUUUAAAGCAAGUACGUCUUUGACCAAAGUGAGCAUUGAUGUGCCUGGAGCUGGAGGCUGCUGGUAACAAGAUUCUUCCAAGAGAAAGCCCAUGCUGAGGUGGAAUCUUGAGUUCCUGUAUCUUAUUUAUCUUCAUUUGAAAUACAAAAAGCAUUUAAAUUUAAAAAAAAAAAAAAAAAAGGCAGAAAUGAAGUUUACCAGACUGUUAUUUCUGCUGAAGAUAGGCUUUUUUUUUUCCUUAGAGGUUGAUACUACAUUCCCCACACCCAGCCUGUUGAAAACAGAGGCUGUGACUAUGAGCCAACUGCUGCUGCCUUUAGUUUCCCCACCUGAGGAAUUGUGUCCUCCUUACAAAAAAUUUCUUCCUUAUGGGCACCUUUUCAGAGAGCAGUAGGACUUACCUAGUAGGAAAACAUGAGCCUGCAGGGUGAGGCACUUUCCAAAUACCCUUAAGGAAUUAUUUGCUCCUCCAUUAAAUACUGUUCAGUAUCAAAUUAUUGCCAAAUGGAGAGAUAGAAAGGAUAGCUCUAUAGGAAAGGCUUUAUUUGGAAAAUACUUAUACCAAGUUGAGUUUUUUCCUUAAGUAUGUCCCUUAGCUUUUAAGGUUAACAAUGUGUCACUAACAGAUCCAGCUCAAUUUUAAAUGCAGAAAAACUAUCUUGAAUGGAUGGGGGAGGAGUGGCUCAGUUUAAUACAGAAAGUAGCUGAAAGUUACUGUAAUGUAGAACAACAGUGUGUCUUACUGGUAACAUUUCUAAUAAAAAUCACAAUUAAAA
Non-coding RNA from Taeniopygia guttata (zebra finch), 6952 nucleotides. NCBI's taxonomy places the organism in Eukaryota, Metazoa, Chordata, Aves, Passeriformes, Estrildidae. The record is from RefSeq and is a predicted model, not a curated record.